UAGGGAAUCUUCGGCAAUGGGGGGAACCCUGACCGAGCAACGCCGCGUGAGUGAAGAAGGUUUUCGGAUCGUAAAGCUCUGUUGUUAAGGAAGAACGAGUGUGAGAAUGGAAAGUUCAUGCUGUGACGGUACUUAACCAGAAAGGGACGGCUAACUACGUGCCAGCAGCCGCGGUAAUACGUAGGUGGCAAGCGUUGUCCGGAUUUAUUGGGCGUAAAGCGAGCGCAGGCGGUAAAUUAAGUCUGAUGUGAAAGCCCCCGGCUCAACCGGGGAGGGUCAUUGGAAACUGGUUGACUUGAGUGCAGAAGAGGAGAGUGGAAUUCCAUGUGUAGCGGUGAAAUGCGUAGAUAUAUGGAGGAACACCAGUGGCGAAGGCGACUCUCUGGUCUGUAACUGACGCUGAGGCUCGAAAGCGUGGGUAGCAAACAGG
This 430-nucleotide ribosomal RNA is filed under the name Bacteroidota bacterium. RNAcentral's name for it is "Bacteroidetes bacterium partial 16S ribosomal RNA". It matches the Rfam family "Bacterial small subunit ribosomal RNA", at positions 355 to 776 of the family's 1533-position model. Lineage: Bacteria; Pseudomonadati; Bacteroidota. The record is from RNAcentral.